RNAcentral lists this ribosomal RNA (242 nucleotides) under uncultured bacterium. RNAcentral's name for it is "partial 16S ribosomal RNA". It matches the Rfam family "Bacterial small subunit ribosomal RNA", at positions 534 to 775 of the family's 1533-position model. The record is from RNAcentral.
GCAAGAGUUGUCCGGAUUUAUUGGGCUUAAAGCGAGCGCAGGCGGCUUGGCAAGUCUGAUGUGAAAGGCUGGGGCUCAACCCCAGGACUGCAUUGGAAACUGUAAGGCUAGAGUGUCGGAGAGGUAAGCGGAAUUCCUAGUGUAGCGGUGAAAUGCGUAGAUAUUAGGAGGAACACCAGUGGCGAAGGCGGCUUACUGGACGACAACUGACGCUGAGGCUCGAAAGCGUGGGGAGCAAACAG